RNAcentral lists this unclassified non-coding RNA (293 nucleotides) under Venturia sp. (in: ascomycete fungi). Its description in RNAcentral is "Venturia sp. (in: Fungi) partial contains 5.8S ribosomal RNA, internal transcribed spacer 2, and large subunit ribosomal RNA". The stretch from base 1 to 71 matches the Rfam family "5.8S ribosomal RNA", at positions 84 to 154 of the family's 154-position model. The record is from RNAcentral. Lineage: Eukaryota; Fungi; Ascomycota; Dothideomycetes; Venturiales; Venturiaceae.
GUGAGUCAUCGAAUCUUUGAACGCACAUUGCGCCCCCUGGUAUUCCGGGGGGCACGCCUGUUCGAGCGCCAUUUCAACCCUCAAGCCCGGCUUGGUGAUGGGCUCCCGCCGCGUGGCGGGCCCGAAACUCGUAGGGCGCCGUGGCAGUCGGGCUCUGAGCGUAGCAAGAGUGAAAACCUCCCUCGCUCCGGAGACCCCUCCACAGCCGCCUGGAGAACCCACGAAUCUUACAAGGUUGGCCUCGGAUCAGGCGGGGAUACCCGCUGAACUUAAGCAUAUCAAUAAGCGGAGGA